UGGUGGAGUGAUUUGUCUGGUUAAUUCCGUUAACGAACGAGACCUCGACCUACUAAAUAGUCUGGCGAACUCUUCGGAGUUCGUACAGUUUUACUUCUUAGAGGGACUAUCGGUUUGUAGCCGAUGGAAGUUCGAGGCAAUAACA
RNAcentral lists this ribosomal RNA (145 nucleotides) under uncultured eukaryote. Its description in RNAcentral is "partial 18S ribosomal RNA". It matches the Rfam family "Eukaryotic small subunit ribosomal RNA", at positions 1299 to 1458 of the family's 1831-position model. The record is from RNAcentral.